GGCUCAGUGCUGGCAGAGCCUUUCAUCAUUCCGAAAAAGCUAGAAAUCCAUAGCAAGUCUCCUGGGUUUUAAAUGAAUUUAAGAUUCCUAACUGUCACGUAAAAUGCAUAAAGCCUUCCUUGCGAGCUGUCCCAAGACUAAGUCUCGAAUGAUUUACUCUUUAUUAUCUAUCUAUAUAUAUAUAUAUUUUUUUUAUCAAGGAUUGAACUCAGGGACACUUAACUACUGAGUCACACCCCUAGCCCUUUUAACAUUUUAUUUAGAACUCUCACUGAGUUGCUUAGUGACAUCUUAUUGGCCAAACCACUGCUCAUGGUUGAAUUUUGCCUCAAGUUUGCCGGUUUGCCUGAGUAAAUGGUGUGGACUCGGCCGAGGGAAACUAGGGGAAAGCUUGUUCUCUAGUCUGGUGAUGGGCAGGGGGUUGAGGCUGGGAUCUGCCAGCAAAGGGACUUCCUAUGUGGGACGGGUGUACUUUCUCACCCACCCACUUUGAUUCAAACUGAGUUAGCAACACAUUUUAAGGGAUUUUUAAUUUUAAUGCUCUUAUUUUUAACCCUUUGGAAAUUCUGUUAAACACACACACAGACUUGGUUGACACUGUUUUGAAAAAUGGAGAGAUAAGCAAUUAAAGGAAGUCACAGUCUGCUGUCUGAGCCCUCCGUUGGGGUCAGGGUGGUGUAGCUGCACAACUUGGGGGGGUCUAUAGGCCUGGAGAAAAAGAAAGAGGGUAAUAGGUAAGCAAGCCAGUACAGCUGGAGAGUGAGAAUGAGCAGGAAACGGGAGGCAGCAGCUGAGCUGUGGUCUACCUCUGCUGAGGCCCAGUCAAACCCCCAGAGAGGGUGAACAUGACCCUUGAAGUUGGUAGAGGCUCAUAAAUAGGAAGAUCUUCACCAUGUGUUGUGAGAUGGAAGAAUAGGUCAUAAGAAAAGGUUAAGCUCAUCCCUUUUGUAAGAAAUAAGCAAAUAAAAAUUUUUUAAAAAUGGCUGCACUACAGUCCCACCUUAUCUGUGUGUGUGUGUGUGUGUGUUUUUUCUUUCCACAGUUUUUGUUACCCAUAGCCAACCAUAGUCUGAAAAUGCUAACUGGGAAAUUAGAAAAAUAAGCAAUUCAUAGUUUUAAAUUGCCCACCACUCUUAGUAGUGCGAUGAAAUCUUGUAUCACCCCUCUGUACUGCCCAAAAUGCAAAUCAUCCCUUUAUCCAGAGUAUCCACACUGUAUAUGCUACCUCUCUGUUAAUCACUUAGUAGCUAUUUCUAUUAUCAG
This 1263-nucleotide long non-coding RNA is filed under the name Marmota monax (woodchuck). Lineage: Eukaryota; Metazoa; Chordata; Mammalia; Rodentia; Sciuridae. The record is from RNAcentral.